GUCCAUUUGCACUUCUGAACACUGUAGUGCUUACCAAAAAUGUCGCUUUGUGUUUACUGUUGCUACUCGUAAGUCGAUUUGUUAUAGGUUACAUUUCAGCUUGAGUUAGUAGAUGCUCCAAAUACAGUAAAACUAAAAUUAUAGAGUAGCGAAAUAGCGAAAUAGUCGCUACAUUUUUAAAGCAGUAGCUGUAGUCAGUAGCGAACU
Paramuricea clavata is the source of this 207-nucleotide non-coding RNA. The record is from the annotation of a GenBank genome assembly. NCBI's taxonomy places the organism in Eukaryota, Metazoa, Cnidaria, Anthozoa, Malacalcyonacea, Plexauridae.